AGGAUGAACGCUGGCGGCGUGCUUAACACAUGCAAGUCGAACGAUGAACUGGAGCUUGCUCCGGGGAUUAGUGGCGAACGGGUGAGUAACACGUGAGUAACCUGCCCUUGGACUCUGGGAUAAGCACUGGAAACGUGUCUAAUACCGGAUAUGACCUUCAGCCGCA
RNAcentral lists this ribosomal RNA (166 nucleotides) under uncultured soil bacterium. RNAcentral's name for it is "partial 16S ribosomal RNA". It matches the Rfam family "Bacterial small subunit ribosomal RNA", at positions 26 to 190 of the family's 1533-position model. The record is from RNAcentral.